This 1970-nucleotide ribosomal RNA is filed under the name human gut metagenome. RNAcentral describes it as "bacterial LSU rRNA". It matches the Rfam family "Bacterial large subunit ribosomal RNA", at positions 1 to 1983 of the family's 2925-position model. The record is from RNAcentral.
GAAAGUAAUGAAGGGCGUACGGUGGAUGCCUAGGCUCUUACAGGCGAUGAAGGACGUGAUAAGCUGCGAAAAGCCGCGGUGAGGCGCAAAUGGCCCUUGACCCGCGGAUCUCCGAAUGGGACAACCCAAUAUCUUGAAGAGAUAUUAUCCCGCCGAUGCGGGAGGCGAACGCGGGGAACUGAAACAUCUUAGUACCCGCAGGAAAAGAAAAUAAAGAAUGAUUCCCCCAGUAGUGGCGAGCGACCGGGGAAGAGCCCAAACCGACGUUGUCUCGGCAUCGUCGGGGUUGUAGGACCGCGCCAUCGCAAGAAAGGCCGUGAGUGGAAGCGACUGGAAAGCCGCGCCAUAGAGGGUGACAGCCCCUUACACGAAGCAGCCCGAAGCGUAGCGGACUCCUGAGUAGCGCGGGACACGAGUAAUCCUGUGUGAAUCCGCCGGGCCCAUCCGGCAAGGCUAAAUACUCGUAAGAGACCGAUAGUGAACCAGUACCGUGAGGGAAAGGUGAAAAGUACCCCUUGCAGGGGAGUGAAAGAGUUCCUGAAACCGUACGCCUACAAGCGGUCGGAGCAUCUUGAAUGAUGUGACGGCGUGCCUUUUGCAUAAUGAACCUACGAGUUGCCGUCACCAGCGAGGUUAAGUGCGAUGACGCACCGAGCCGCAGCGGAAGCGAGUCUUAAAAGGGCGCAAUAGUUGGUGGAGGCAGACGCGAAACCGAGUGAUCUACACUUGUCCAGGAUGAAGUCCCGGUAACACGGGAUGGAGGUCCGCACCAAUAAGCGUUGAAAAGCUUCUGGAUGAGGUGAGUGUAGGAGUGAAAGGCCAAUCAAACUCGGAGAUAGCUCGUACUCCCCGAAAGGCAUUUAGGUGCCGCCUGUGGCGUUCCCGACGUGAGGUAGAGCGACUGAUAGGAUGCGAGGGCUUCACCGCCUAUCAAGUCCUGACAAACUCCGAAUGCACGUCGGCCAAGCCAUGGAGUAAGGGCAUGGGUGCUAAGGUCCGUGCCCGAGAGGAGAAGAAUCCAGACCACCGGCUAAGGUCCCGAAAUACUGGUUAAGUUAGACUAACGCAGUCCGGCCCCCAAGACAGCUAGGAUGUUGGCUUGGAAGCAGCCAUUCAUUCAAAGAGUGCGUAACAGCUCACUAGUCGAGGAGCUGGGCGUGGAUAAUAAUCGGGUAUGAAACCAGUUACCGAAGCCGUGGGAUGCUUAAGCAUCGGUAGGGGAGCAUUGCAUGCGGCUUAGAAGGCGGGGCGUGAGCCCCUCUGGAGCGCAUGGAAACGCAAAUGUAGGUAUAAGUAACGACAAGGGGGGUGGGAUGCCCCCCCGCCGAAAGACCAAGGUUUCCUGAACAACGCUAAUCGGUUCAGGGUCAGUCGGGUCCUAAGCAUAAGCCGUAUGGCGAGGGCGAUGGACGAAACGGUUAAUAUUCCGUUACUGUCUUGGUGUGUGACGCGGCGACGGAGUAGUGACACGGCCGCCUCCUGACGGAAAAGGGGGUUGAAGCGCAAAGGUGUCGAGGAAGGCAGGCAAAUCCACCUUCCGAGCCGAAGCGCGAAAGUACGCCGGGCCCUUUGGGGCAAGGCGAUAGUGCCGGUAAUCAGACUUCCAAGAAAACCCGCUAAACUUCAGCACCAAGUCACCCGUACUCUAAACGGACACACGUGGUCGGGUAGAAUAUACUAAGGCGCUUGGGAGAUUCACGGUUAAGGAACUAGGCAAAUUGACCCCGUACCUUCGGAAUAAGGGGUCCUCGCUUUUGCGAGGCGCAGAGAAUAGGUCCAGGCAACUGUUUAACAAAAACACAGGGCUGUGCAAAUUUGAAAGAAGAAGUAUACAGCCUGACACCUGCCCGGUGCCGGAAGGUUAAGAGGAGAGCUCAUCAGCGAUGAGAAGGCUUGAAUUGAAGCCCCGGUAAACGGCGGCCGUAACUAUAACGGUCCUAAGGUAGCGAAAUUCCUUGUCGGGUAAGUUC